AGAGAGUGUGGUUGGCCCAGACUGGCCGGGGAGUCAUCUCUUCGUGCCAUAGGCUUGUCCAGCCAGGAGAGAAAUUUCCUGCCUAGAAAGAAACCAUAAGGGAAAACUCUAGACGUGUGUCUGUAUGAAUCCGGACCUAUCUUCAGACAAUGGACUUUAGAAUCUUUGCGGGAAGGACAUAAAUUCCCCAGGUGUAUAGAAUCUCGUAACCAUGAAGCAUGACUGUCACAGGCUCACAUC
Molecule: long non-coding RNA, 240 nt
Filed under: Castor canadensis (American beaver)
Lineage: Eukaryota; Metazoa; Chordata; Mammalia; Rodentia; Castoridae
Description: lncRNA (ENSCCNG00000008087.1)
Source: RNAcentral